This 94-nucleotide microRNA precursor is filed under the name Dipodomys ordii (Ord's kangaroo rat). Its description in RNAcentral is "microRNA 30b (ENSDORG00000022084.2)". The stretch from base 12 to 84 matches the Rfam family "mir-30 microRNA precursor family". Rfam says of the family: This family consists of the mammalian microRNA (miRNA) precursor mir-30a. Animal miRNAs are transcribed as ~70nt precursors and subsequently processed by the Dicer enzyme to give a ~22nt product. In this case the mature sequence comes from both the 3' (miR-30) and 5' (mir-97-6) arms of the precursor. Lineage: Eukaryota; Metazoa; Chordata; Mammalia; Rodentia; Heteromyidae. The record is from RNAcentral.
UAAACCAAGUUUCAGUUCAUGUAAACAUCCUACACUCAGCUGAAAUACAUAAUUGGCUGGGAGGUGGAUGUUUACUUCAGCUGUCUUGGAAUAU